RNAcentral lists this ribosomal RNA (161 nucleotides) under uncultured bacterium. RNAcentral's name for it is "partial 16S ribosomal RNA". The record is from RNAcentral.
GCACAAAGUUAGCCGGUGCUUUCUCUAGUGGUACUGUCACCUCUUACUUCUAUUAAAAGUAAUUCUUUCUUCCCACUUAACAGAAGUUUACAAUCCGAAGACCGUCAUCCUUCACGCGGCGUCGCUGCAUCAGGGUUUCCCCCAUUGUGCAAUAUUCCUGA